This 233-nucleotide ribosomal RNA is filed under the name uncultured bacterium. RNAcentral describes it as "partial 16S ribosomal RNA". It matches the Rfam family "Bacterial small subunit ribosomal RNA", at positions 15 to 244 of the family's 1533-position model. The record is from RNAcentral.
GAUCAUGGCUCAGGACGAACGCUGGCGGCGCGCCUAACACAUGCAAGUCGAACGAGAGAUGAAGAGCUUGCUCUUCAAAUCGAGUGGCGAACGGGUGAGUAACGCGUGAGGAACCUGCCUCAAAGAGGGGGACAACAGUUGGGAACGACUGCUAAUACCGCAUAAGCCCACGGCUCGGCAUCGAGCAGAGGGAAAAGGGCAAUCCGCUUUGAGAUGGCCUCGCGUCCGAUUAG